RNAcentral lists this ribosomal RNA (217 nucleotides) under uncultured bacterium. RNAcentral describes it as "partial 16S ribosomal RNA". It matches the Rfam family "Bacterial small subunit ribosomal RNA", at positions 524 to 739 of the family's 1533-position model. The record is from RNAcentral.
UACGAAGGGGGCUAGCGUUGUUCGGAAUCACUGGGCGUAAAGCGCACGUAGGCGGGUUCUUAAGUCAGGGGUGAAAUACGGCAGCUCAACUGUCGAGGUGCCAUUGAUACUGUAGGACUUGAGUACAGACGAGGUAGGCGGAAUUGACGGUGUAGCGGUGAAAUGCUUAGAUAUCGUCAAGAACACCGAUAGCGAAGGCAGCUUACGUAGGCUGUAA